RNAcentral lists this ribosomal RNA (253 nucleotides) under uncultured bacterium. RNAcentral's name for it is "partial 16S ribosomal RNA". It matches the Rfam family "Bacterial small subunit ribosomal RNA", at positions 524 to 776 of the family's 1533-position model. The record is from RNAcentral.
UACGGAGGGUGCGAGCGUUAAUCGGAAUUACUGGGCGUAAAGCGUACGUAGGCGGGUCUGUAAGUAGAGGGUGAAAUCCCAGGGCUCAACCCUGGAACUGCCUUCUAGACUGCAGGCCUCGAGGUCAGGAGAGGCGAGUGGAAUACCGAGUGUAGAGGUGAAAUUCGUAGAUAUUCGGUGGAACACCAGUGGCGAAGGCGACUCGCUGGACUGAUACUGACGCUGAGGUGCGAAAGCGUGGGGAGCAAACAGG